Molecule: long non-coding RNA, 732 nt
Organism: Lycium ferocissimum
Lineage: Eukaryota; Viridiplantae; Streptophyta; Magnoliopsida; Solanales; Solanaceae
Exons: 2
Source: RefSeq, a predicted model, not a curated record
AAAAAUAUCAGUCCUUGCAUUUAUCAGAAAAAACACCCAUUUGUUGACCACCCUAUAAAUGCCCCGUUAGAUACUUCGUUUCUUCAAGAAUAUCAAAAGUGGCUUGAGAAGGAUCUAUUGAAAUCGCAUGACAAAAGGAAGCCAAAUGAAAAUCAUUACAGAAAGAACAAGGAAGGACUCGAUCUUGCGGAUGCCGAACUUCGGUUUCAUUUAGGCGUUACAGCCGUAGCCGUAGCCGACAAAAACUGGUUCUACUUGUUAUCUAUGGAUGGGCAACUUUGGACUGAUGAGGUUUUGAUAUCUUUCUGCUUGUUAUCUAAUUUUUUUAUGUUUUAUAAUAGAAUUACAAUGUGAUGUAUCUAGAGUAUAUUUUUUACAAUAUUUGACAUAUAUUGUAAAAAAUAUAUUUCAGGCAUAUUUACCAUAUAUUUUCUCUAUAUUUAACUGAAACUUUUAACUUUUAAAGCAGUACUAUAUAUGUGUAUAUGUGUAUCUGUUUUGCUGAUGCCUUUAAAUUCAUUUGAACCAUGUUUUUAUUGUUUUAGGUUGAGGGAGUAGGUUGAGGUACUUAUUGUCACAACUUGUAUUUAUAGAAUAUUGUCAUCAUUAUACUUGCACUAUAUUUAAUAUACAGACAUUAAUUUACUAGUUCAGCACAGUACUGUCCAGGUAUACAGAAUUGUAUUUUUACUAUAUAUAAGAGUAUAUUGCACUAUAUUUACUAUAUAUACA